UGGUUUUUAGCUCAAUUGGUAAGAGCAACUGACUUAUAAUCAGUAGGUUAAGGGUUCGAGUCCCUUAAGACUUCCCA
This 77-nucleotide transfer RNA is filed under the name Lachnospiraceae bacterium NE2001. RNAcentral's name for it is "tRNA_Ile_TAT". It matches the Rfam family "tRNA". From Rfam's summary of the family: Transfer RNA (tRNA) molecules are approximately 80 nucleotides in length. Their secondary structure includes four short double-helical elements and three loops (D, anti-codon, and T loops). The record is from RNAcentral. Lineage: Bacteria; Bacillati; Bacillota; Clostridia; Lachnospirales; Lachnospiraceae.